UUCCAUAACCAAACCUCUAGUAUUUUCAGCUGCUUGAAGCUAGUGUACAAAACCGAAAGUAAAAGACGCAAAAACUAACUUUAAUAACGUAAGCAUAGAAAUACAACACAGAACAGAGCUACCGCUUCUAAAGCCCCGUUUCCACUGGCACUUGAAAUUUGGGCCAGAUUCGACCUGGGUCGAGGGAAACCCGGGCCAGCGCAGCCCAGUUUCACAACUGGCGCCAGCUCAAUUCGAAUUCGGAUUGGUGACCCAUUACUAUGCAACCACCAAGUGGAUCACUGCUGGAUGCGGUUCUGUUCUGUGGGUGUCACUGAGUAGGCUGAUACCCCAUUACAUGGACCCAAGAUGAUGAUCCAUAGGACCUGAGUCCUAGGACCAAGCCUCAGGACUACCUAUCCUGAUGACUCCUUAAUGUCCCCAGUCCACCUGGUCGUGCUGCUACUCCAGUUUCAACUGUUCUGCCUGCGGCUAUGGAACCCUGACCUGUUCGCCGGACAUGCUACCUUGUCCCAGACCUGCUGUUUUCGA
Oncorhynchus gorbuscha (pink salmon) is the source of this 531-nucleotide long non-coding RNA. RefSeq lists it as uncharacterized. The record is from RefSeq and is a predicted model, not a curated record. The transcript has 3 exons. Lineage: Eukaryota; Metazoa; Chordata; Actinopteri; Salmoniformes; Salmonidae.